UACGGAGGGGGCUAGCGUUGUUCGGAAUUACUGGGCGUAAAGCGCGCGUAGGCGGAUCUGCAAGUCAGGGGUGAAAUCCUGGAGCUCAACUCCAGAACUGCCUUUGAUACUGAGGAUCUUGAGUCCGGGAGAGGUGAGUGGAACUGCGAGUGUAGAGGUGAAAUUCGUAGAUAUUCGCAAGAACACCAGUGGCGAAGGCGGCUCACUGGCCCGGUACUGACGCUGAGGCACGAAAGCGUGGGGAGCAAACAGG
RNAcentral lists this ribosomal RNA (253 nucleotides) under uncultured bacterium. Its description in RNAcentral is "partial 16S ribosomal RNA". It matches the Rfam family "Bacterial small subunit ribosomal RNA", at positions 524 to 776 of the family's 1533-position model. The record is from RNAcentral.